GAUGAACGUUGGCGGCGUGCCUAAUACAUGCAAGUCGAACGAAGACUGUAGUAAUACUGUCUUAGUGGCGAACGGGUGAGUAACGCGUGGGUGACCUGCCCCGAAGUGUGGGAUAACAGUCCGAAAGGAUUGCUAAUACUGCAUAAUAUCCAAGAGAUUAGAUGCUUUUGGAUUAAAGGAGUAAUUCGCUUCGGGAGGGGCCCGCGUCCCAUCAGCUAGUUGGUAAGGUAAUGGCUUACCAAGGCGAUGACGGGUAGGGGACCUGAGAGGGUGGCCCCCCACAAUGGAACUGAAACACGGUCCAUACACCUACGGGUGGCAGCAGUAGGGAAUAUUAGUAAUGGGCGAAAGCCUGACCCAGCGACGCCGCGUGGAGGAAGAAGUCCUUCGGGCGGUAAACUCCUGGACUGGGGGACGGAGUAAGGACGGGUACCCCACGUAGAAAGGGACGGCUAACUAACGUG
Molecule: ribosomal RNA, 464 nt
Filed under: uncultured bacterium
Lineage: Bacteria
Description: bacterial SSU rRNA
Rfam family: Bacterial small subunit ribosomal RNA
Source: RNAcentral